UUGAACGCUGGCGGCAUGCUUUACACAUGCAAGUCGAACGGUAACAGGCCGCAAGGUGCUGACGAGUGGCGAACGGGUGAGUAAUGCAUCGGAACGUGCCCAGUCGUGGGGGAUAACGCAGCGAAAGCUGUGCUAAUACCGCAUGAUGUCUACGGACCAAAGCGGGGGACCUUCGGGCCUCGCGUUCUGAGAGGAGCCUAUGUCAGAUUAGCUAGUUGGCGGGGUAAAGGCCCACCAAGGCUAUGAUCUGUAACUGGUCUGAGAGGAUGACCAGUCACACUGGGACUGAGACACGGCCCAGACUCCUACGGGAGGCAGCAGUGGGGAAUAUUGGACAAUGGGCGCAAGCCUGAUCCAGCAAUGCCGCGUGAGUGAAGAAGGCCUUAGGGUUGUAAAGCUCUUUUGUAGAGGAGGAAGGCUGUCGAGCGAAUACCUCGGCGGAUUGACGUUACUCUAAGAAUAAGCACCGGCUAACUCUGUG
RNAcentral lists this ribosomal RNA (481 nucleotides) under uncultured bacterium. Its description in RNAcentral is "bacterial SSU rRNA". It matches the Rfam family "Bacterial small subunit ribosomal RNA", at positions 30 to 507 of the family's 1533-position model. The record is from RNAcentral.